AACACCAAUAAAUACCCAAAUUUGGCCUGGACAGCUUUUGCUUCUUCCACAAGAAUCUCUGGGGUCUAAGAAAAGUCAAAGGCCAAGCACAGUGCCCUCUGUGUGGAAAGGUCAGGGGAACACUUUGGACUCAAACCUCCAUACUCCAAAGGCCUCAGGAGGCACCUCGGAAUCUCUAGGAUACAACCACUAAUCAACAGGAAAUCAACAGAAACAAAGGGAGUGCCCAUUAACUGAGGAAUAGCUGAAGAAAUUAUGGUAUGGGAAGAUAAUAGGAUACUAUUGUGCCUUAAGAAAUGACUUGUAUGAACUUACGCGGAGUAGUGAACAAAACCUGAAGAACAAUUUAUACAAUAAUAUCACUAUUAACUACAAGCAAGAACUCUGAUUAUAUAAUGACCAACCAUGAUUACAGAUAAAGAUGUAUGUUUAAAAGCUCCUUUUCAGUAAAAUCAUAAGUAUUAAGAAAUAA
Antechinus flavipes (yellow-footed antechinus) is the source of this 472-nucleotide long non-coding RNA. RefSeq lists it as uncharacterized. The transcript has 2 exons. The record is from RefSeq and is a predicted model, not a curated record. Lineage: Eukaryota; Metazoa; Chordata; Mammalia; Dasyuromorphia; Dasyuridae.